RNAcentral lists this ribosomal RNA (494 nucleotides) under uncultured bacterium. Its description in RNAcentral is "partial 16S ribosomal RNA". It matches the Rfam family "Bacterial small subunit ribosomal RNA", at positions 28 to 507 of the family's 1533-position model. The record is from RNAcentral.
GACGAACGCUGGCGGCGCGCUUAACACAUGCAAGUCGAACGGAAAGGCCUGCAUUCCCUUGUGGAUUGCGGGUACUCGCGUGGCGAACGGGUGAGUAACACGUGAGUGAUCUGCCCCCAACUUGGGUAUAAGCCUGGGAAACUGGGUCUAAUUCCCGAUAGGACUGCAGGGUGGUGCCUGUGGUGGAAAACGAUUUUCUAGUGGUUGGGGAUGAGCUCGCGGCCUAUCAGCUUGUUGGUGGGGUAAUGGCCUACCAAGGCGGCGACGGGUAGCCGGCCUGAGAGGGUGGACGGGCACAGUGGGACUGAGAUACGGCCCAGACUCCUACGGGAGGCAGCAGUGGGGAAUAUUGCACAAUGGGCGGAAGCCUGAUGCAGCGACGCCGAGUGGGGGAUGACGGCCUUCGGGUGGUAAACUCCUUUCGACCGCGAGGAAGCCACCUGGUUGGAAGGGUGGUGACGGUAGUGGUAGAAGAAGCACCGGCUAACUACGUG